ACGCUCGACACCUACUGGAGGCAGCAGUCGGGAAUAUUGCGCAAUGGAGGAAACUCUGACGCAGUGACGCCGCGUAUGGGAAGAAGGUUUUCGGAUUGUAAACCAUUUUAGACAAGGAAGAAACAAGACAGUACUUGUAGAAUAAGCUCCGGCUAACUACGUGCCAGCAGCCGCGGUAAUCUGAGCGGGCUGGCAAGGC
Molecule: ribosomal RNA, 199 nt
Filed under: uncultured bacterium
Lineage: Bacteria
Description: partial 16S ribosomal RNA
Rfam family: Bacterial small subunit ribosomal RNA
Source: RNAcentral